GGCAAUUUAUCUUGCCAUUUGUGCCCCACGCGAUGUUCACGCAGAUGCAUCAAUUAAAACGUAUACCAUCCAUAUGCAGUUGAUCAUACAGCACAAACAUACACCUUUGGUAUAAAUAUUAAAAUCGGAAUCAUGGUAACCUAUCGUGGUCGCUGACGUCACGACGCAAUCAUUCACGUAGCACAAUGUGGAGAGGCUCGCUCAGAUAUGCCUUUCCCGUCUUAUGCUGAGCACACGGGUUCUGCAGGCAGCGCUUCCGUUUUCGGCUUUGGAGAAGAGCGGCGCCGCCAGCGGUGGGACAAGAAUAGGUGAUGUUAAGUGAGCGGAUUUCAAUAAGAAGCAUCCAGGAGCGACGCUGACAUUAGAGAGAGGGACUCUGCUUAACCUCAGGCAAGGCAACGUGACUCGGAGCCCUGUCUCGCAGGACAGAGCAUUGCAAGAUCUUCUUCAAGCACCCUAUCCUCCCCUCGGACCCAGCUCUACGCCGCUCGCCCAUUUUGAUUUUUUUUCCCUCCAUUCUGUCCAUCUGUCUUCAUACAGGAGAAUAACACCCAUUCGCCCCCAUGCAAUUGUGGAUUGAGCGUAAUGGGAACUGUCAAGGCGAGGAAAGCGAGGCGAAGAUGCAGCGGGGUUACCGAAAUGAUGGAGAAUGCACAUAUUUGGGAGAUGUUUUUGUGCGUGUAUGGAGGGGAGGGGAAGGGGGGGGGCAUUUUCAUAUCUGUCCCUCUUUCCGUUUUAUGUUAUUUUUUUUUUAAGUGCAGCGCUGGGCACGGACUUGCCCAUGUUGAACCGUUAGACUGUUGCCCGACUGGCAGUUGAGAGCCAACCGCACCUCUUCUACCCCACCCCCACCCCACUCCACUCUACUUUCACUUUUCCAAAUUGAAGGAAAAAGUUCAGGAGAUCUUAGUAAUGGAGAGAGGACUGAAUUUUAUUGUGUUUUCUUCCAGCAAAGGGACAACGCGCCUCGACACGCGAUCUUUUAAAAGUUUGGAUAUCAAUGGCUAAGAAAGCUAUCAUAUUUAAAUAUAAUUCUCUCAUAUGAUCAAAUGUGGGCGCAGAGUUUAAUGGCUACUGAAAACAAAGAUGCACAUUAAGUACAUGUCAGUUAGAUGAACAAACAAUUUAGCAAACCCUUCAACAUUUCCUGUGUGUUCUAUGUAGAAGAAGGCUGGACGACUGUCGUCGUAUGCACUUUCCUCUCAAACGAUUUAAUAAGGCCUUCUUGUAUGCUUCGUACUAAAGUGAUUGGAAAAAUACAAGGCGUAACUAACACACAAAAACAGCCCCUGCUGGGCUAGGACAAUGAGCAGCAAUCCGCUGUGGACAAUGACUAGGGCAGCCGAAGCUGAUUGUGUUUCAGUGCACGUUCGCAGCAGAUUGAGCAGUUCGAGGACCAACAACAGAUUUGGAGAGACUUCCACGUCGGACACUCUGUGAAAAAAAGAGUGUGGGGAGGAAUGUUAACAAACUUGGGACAAAAUGUGGGGACUUCCAAGUUUUCCAUCCCAGUCCAAUCAGGCACGAGUAAUCGCAACGUUUGAAAUACAUUGCUUCAGAAAGGAGUGGAAGCACAAACCAGCCUGAGCUUCUUAGAAACGUUACAUCACAACAAUGGGGAAAAAACUUCAGAUGUUAUCAUUAAUAUUUAUAAGAAGAUAAUAUUAAACUGCAUUUGGACUUCUGGUUUUUUUUAUAUCUGGGAUUACUGGAGACCAUUGCAUGUAACAAGAUGAGCUGCGUUCAUUCAUCGGACGAGUUCACAGCAGGAUGGACAAAAAAGGAGUUUUGCAGAGGAGGAGGAGGAGGAGGUUCAGCUGAACUUGGAGAACUCGCAACUGUUCAUCGCCACAGGCUGUCCCUGUCUUACCAGAGAGAAUCAAGGUCUACAUAUGCGCACGGCAGCGGAGUGGGCAGGCAAGCUCAAACACCCGGCGGCUUGGUGCCUUUACAAGAGAAAUCAAUACGGAGCAGCGCAGCGGGGUCACACCAGGCAGCCCUCAGCAAGGUGCCAAGGGAGCACACUUUCUCGCGCUGGAACACAACCUCGGCUUCUGUGUGUGGUUUUGCCGAUGGGAGUUUACUCGGUGCUCUCUAAUGUGUAGACCACCGCAGAAAGUUUGCACACUGUUAACAUAAAAGGGAGAAAAAGUGAACGGCAUUCCCCUGUAUGAAGCUGGGCUGUUUUUUUUUUUUUUUUUAACCUGGAGGUGCAGUUUGAACCGUUUCCUUAUUUCAGCACAGAAAGAUUCUUUAUCAUUCUGCCGGGAUUUUUUAAAUCCACCUUAAAAGUUUAUGUGCAUAACCUUGGACAAUAUUCCAUGGCUUUUCUGUAUGUGAUUUGUUGUUGUUUUUUGUAAGCUGCCAGAGCUGGCUUUAAGCACCCCCAAACCCCCCCCCCCCCCAACUGACUUUACCUGUUGACCUUACUCUUCAUGCUCAUGAUGUGAAGCCAAGGAGGAUGCAAACAAAAUCAUUGCAUAUUUUCUUUGGAACAAACUUGUGAGCCACAUGACAAAGUAGUAAUGGCCGCAGUUUAUCCACCUCCUUCCUCCCACUACUUCCGAAUCACCACACUACAACCAAAUGUCUCUGGACUCCAAGAGUUCUGGACCUCUGAAGGGAAUCCCCAAGUGUGCCAGUGGAUCUCAGAUGUAAAAAUGACGAUGAGAUGACCAAAUGAGAGAGAGCUGGCCUGCGCCACAAAUAAUACAUUCAGAUGCCAGACAGAUAUUAAUGUAAGUAUAUGCAAUUUUACAAGAAGAAAAUUCAGACUGACGAAAAAAAUAAUAAAAGGUUUUUAA
Molecule: long non-coding RNA, 2804 nt
Organism: Erpetoichthys calabaricus (reedfish)
Lineage: Eukaryota; Metazoa; Chordata; Cladistia; Polypteriformes; Polypteridae
Exons: 4
Source: RefSeq, a predicted model, not a curated record